GACGAACGCUGGCGGCGUGCCUAAUACAUGCAAGUAGAACGCUGAAGGAGGAGCUUGCUUCUCCGGAUGAGUUGCGAACGGGUGAGUAACGCGUAGGUAACCUGCCUGGUAGCGGGGGAUAACUAUUGGAAACGAUAGCUAAUACCGCAUAACAGUAGAUGUUGCAUGACAUUUGCUUAAAAGGUGCAAUUGCACCACUACCAGAUGGACCUGCGUUGUAUUAGCUAGUUGGUGAGGUAACGGCUCACCAAGGCGACGAUACAUAGCCGACCUGAGAGGGUGAUCGGCCACACUGGGACUGAGACACGGCCCAGACUCCUACGGGAGGCAGCAGUAGGGAAUCUUCGGCAAUGGACGGAAGUCUGACCGAGCAACGCCGCGUGAGUGAAGAAGGUUUUCGGAUCGUAAAGCUCUGUUGUAAGAGAAGAACGAGUGUGAGAGUGGAAAGUUCACACUGUGACGGUAUCUUACCAGAAAGGGACGGCUAACUACGUG
Molecule: ribosomal RNA, 495 nt
Filed under: uncultured bacterium
Lineage: Bacteria
Description: partial 16S ribosomal RNA
Rfam family: Bacterial small subunit ribosomal RNA
Source: RNAcentral